This 282-nucleotide ribosomal RNA is filed under the name uncultured prokaryote. RNAcentral's name for it is "partial 16S ribosomal RNA". It matches the Rfam family "Bacterial small subunit ribosomal RNA", at positions 524 to 803 of the family's 1533-position model. The record is from RNAcentral.
AACGUAGGAGGCUAGCGUUAUCCGGAUUUAUUGGGCGUAAAGCGCGUGCAGGCGGUUUGAUAAGUUGGAUGUGAAAUCUCCCGGCUUAACUGGGAGCGGUCGUUCAAAACUAUCAGACUAGAGAAUGGGAGAGGAAGGUGGAAUUCCGGGUGUAGUGGUGAUAUGCGUAGAUAUCCGGAGGAACACCAGUGGCGAAAGCGGCCUUCUAGACCAUUUCUGACGCUAAGACGCGAAAGCUAGGGUAGCAAACGGGAUUAGAUACCCCUGUAGUCCCUGAGCGGG